RNAcentral lists this ribosomal RNA (3322 nucleotides) under Schizosaccharomyces japonicus yFS275. Its description in RNAcentral is "Eukaryotic large subunit ribosomal RNA". It matches the Rfam family "Eukaryotic large subunit ribosomal RNA". The record is from Rfam by way of RNAcentral. Lineage: Eukaryota; Fungi; Ascomycota; Schizosaccharomycetes; Schizosaccharomycetales; Schizosaccharomycetaceae.
UGACCUCAGAUCAGGUAGGACUACGCGCUGAACUUAAGCAUAUCAAUAAGCGCAGGACAAGAAAUAACCAUGAUUCCCCUAGUAACGGCGAGUGAAGCGGGAAAAGCUCAAAUUUGAAAUCUGGCAAAGUUUUAUUCUUUGCCCGAGUUGUAAUUUCAAGAAGCUGCUUUGAGUAUUGCUACGUCGGUCUAAGUUCCUUGGAACAGGACGUCAGAGAGGGUGAGAACCCCGUCUUUGGCCGAUGUGCUUUGCCAUAUAAAGCGCUUUCUAAGAGUCGAGUUGUUUGGGAAUGCAGCUCUAAAUGGGUGGUGAAUUUCAUCUAAAGCUAAAUAUUGGCGAGAGACCGAUAGCGAACAAGUAGAGUGAUCGAAAGAUGAAAAGAACUUUGAAAAGAGAGUUAAAUAGUACGUGAAAUUGCUGAAGGGGAAGCAUUGGAAACCAGUCUUACCUUGGUGAGAUCAGCUGUUUACUUGUAGACAGUGCACUCUGAACCUAGGUAGGUCAGCAUCAGUUUGGGGACGGAAAAGAAUAAGGGAAAGUGGCUUUUGGGCUUGCUCAGAAGUGUUAUAGCCCUUAUUGUAAUACGCCACUGGGGACUGAGGUCUGCGACUUUGUCAAGGAUGCUGACAUAAUGGUUUCAAUGGCCCGUCUUGAAACACGGACCAAGGAGUCUAGCAUCUAUGCGAGUGUUGGGUGGCUAAACCCAUACGCGAAAUGAAAGUGAAUGCAGGUGGGAACUUUUGUGCACCACCGGCCGAUCCGGAAGUUUGUCAAUGGAAGGAUUUGAGCAAGAGCAUAGCUGUUGGGACCCGAAAGAUGGUGAACUAUGCCUGAAUAGGGCGAAGCCAGAGGAAACUCUGGUGGAGGCUCGUAGCGGUUCUGACGCGCAAAUCGAUCGUCAAAUUUGGGAUAGGGGCAAAGACUAAUCGAACCAUCUAGUAGCUGGUUCCUGCCGAAGUUUCCCUCAGGAUAGCAGAAACUCAGAUCAGUUUAUGAGGUAAAGCGAAUGAUUAGAGGCCUUGGGGAAGUAAUUUCCUCAACCUAUUCUCAAACUUUAAAUAUGUAAGACGCCCUUGUCGCUUAAUUGGACGUGGGCUUUCGAAUGAGAGUUUCUAGUGGGCCAUUUUUGGUAAGCAGAACUGGCGAUGCGGGAUGAACCGAACGCGAGGUUAAGGUGCCGGAAUGCACGCUCAUCAGACACCAGAAAGGUGUAGUUCAUCUAGACAGCAGGACGGUGGCCAUGGAAGUCGGAAUCCGCUAAGGAGUGUGUAACAACUCACCUGCCGAAUGAACUAGCCCUGAAAUGGAUGGCGCUUAAGCGUGCUACCCAUACCUCGCCGUCUGGGUUAAUUAUGAAGCUUAGACGAGUAGGCAGGCGUGGAGGUCAGUGACGAAGCCUUGGGCUAAGCCUGGGUCGAACGGCCUCUAGUGCAGAUCUUGGUGGAAGUAGCAAAUAUUCAAAUGAGAACUUUGAAGACUGAAGUGGGGAAAGGUUCCAUGUGAACAGCAGUUGGACAUGGGUUAGUCGAUCCUAAGAGAUAGGGAAGCUCCGUUUGAAGUACACGAUUCUUCGUGUCACCUAUCGAAAGGGAAUCCGGUUAAUAUUCCGGAACCAGGAUGUGGAUUCUCCACGGCACGUAAAUGAAGUUGGAGACGUCGUGGGAGCCCUGGGAAGAGUUCUCUUUCUUUUAAACCAAUCACCCUGAAAUCGGUUAUCCGGAGCUAGGGUAUAGUGUUGGUAGAGCUCAGCGCCUCUGCUGGUCCGGUGCGCUCUCAACGGCCCUUGAAAUCCAACGGAAGGAAUAGUUUCACGCCUGGUCGUACUCAUAACCGCAGCAGGUCUCCAAGGUGAACAGCUCUAGUUGAUAGAACAAUGUAGAUAAGGGAAUCGGCAAAAUGAUCCGUAACUUCGGGAUAAGGAUUGGCUCUAAGGGUUGGUACGUUGGGCCUGGUUUUGACAAUUGCUGGACUGGUUAGGAACUGUCUGAUUCCCCGGAAGACGGAUAGAUCUUGACUAGACCUUGGCAGUUGGAUGGCCUUGGUAAGGCCUCUACUUGUAGAGUGUCCCUCACUGGCGUACGCUUAACAACCAACUUAGAACUGGUACGGACAAGGGGAAUCUGACUGUCUAUUAAACAUAGCAUUGCGAUGGCCAGAAGUGGUGUUGACGCAAUGUGAUUCUGCCCAGUGCUCUGAAUGUCAAGUGAAGAAUUCAACCAAGCGCGGGUAAACGCGGGAGUAACUAUGACUCUCUUAAGGUAGCCAAAUGCCUCGUCAUCUAAUUAGUGACGCGCAUGAAUGGAUUAACGAGAUUCCACUGUCCCUAUCUACUAUCUAGCGAACCACAGCCAAGGGAACGGGCUUGGCAAAUCAGCGGGAAAGAAGACCCUGUUGAGCUUGACUCUAGUUUGACAUUGUGAAGAGACAUAGAGGGUGUAGCAUAAGUGGGAGCUUCGGCGCCAGUGAAAUACCACUACCUUUAUAGUUUCUUUACUUAAUCAAUGAAGCGGAAUUGGAUUCAUUUUCCACAUUCUAGCGUUAAGUUCUUUACGAACCGAUCCGUGUGAUGACAUGUCAGGUGGGGAGUUUGGCUGGGCGGCACAUCUGUUAAAGAUAACGCAGGUGUCCUAAGGGGACUCAUCGAGAACAGAAAUCUCGAGUAGAACAAAGGGUAAAGUCCCCUUGAUUUGAUUUUCAGUGUGAAUACAACCAUGAAAGUGUGGCCUAUCGAUCCUUUAGUCCCUCGAAUUCGAGGAUAGAGGUGCCAGAAAGUUACCACAGGGAUAACUGGCUGUGGCAGCCAAGCGUCAUAGCGACGUUGCUUUUUGAUCCUCGAUGUCGCUCUUCCUAUCAUACCGAAGCAGAAUCGGUAAGCGUUGGAUGUUCACCACUAAUAGGAACGUGAGCUGGGUUUAGACCGUCGUGAGACAGGUAGUUUUACCCAUGAUGAAUGUCGUCGCAAUGGUAAUCAACUUAGUACGAGAGGACCGUUGAUUCAGAUAAUUGGUAUUGCGGCUGCCUGACAAGGCAAUGCCGCGAAGCUAUCAUCUGCCGAUAACGGCUGAACGCUCUAAGUCAGAUCCGUGCCAGAAGCGACGAUACCUUAUCCGCGCAUCUUGGUGCAUACAAUAGAGCUUGCUCCUGUAUCGUAUAAGGUGGCAUGGCUAGUAGAACGGAAUGUUUAUUAGUUUGUCCACGAAUUCCAUUGAAAUUUGUGCGGAGUCGAGUCAUACGACUUAAAUAGUGGAACGGGGUAGUUGUAAGCAGUAGAGUAGCCUUGUGUUACGAUCUGCUGAGAUUAAGCCUUGUUCCCAAGAUUGUU